CAUUUACAUUCUGUGUUAAUAUUGAUGUGUAUGAGUUUGAUCUCGCUAUCAUGUUGUUAGCAUUUGAUUGCCUGAAAAGGAUCUUAUUUCUUUUUCACGUAUGACAUUCAGUUUGGCUGGAUAUGAAAUUCUUGGCUGGAAAUUUUUUUCUUUAGGAAUGCUGAAUAUAGGCCUCCCCCUGCCCCACCCCCGAUCUCUUCUGGCUUGUAGGAUUUCUGCUGACAGGUCCACUUUUAGCCUGAUGGGUGGGAUUCUUUUUGUAGGUGACCUGCACAUUCUCUCUAGUUACCUUUAUCAUUUUUUCUUACAUGUUGACUUUUGAAAAUCUGAUGAUUAUGUGUCUUGGUUUUAUCUUCUUGUAUAAUACCUUUCAGGGGCUCUGUGUAUUUCUUGGAUUUGAAUGUUGUCCUCUCUAGUGAGGUUGGGUAAGUUUUCAUCAGUGAUACAGUGAAAUAUGUUUUCCAGGUUGCUUGCUUUUCCCCCGCCUCUUUCAGGAAUACCAAUAAGUCAUAGAUUUGACCUCUAGCUAACCCCAAAUUUCUCAGUUUUUUUUUCAUUUUUUAUUUUUGUUUUUGUCUGAUUGAUUUAUUUUAGAGAGCCACAGGCAUGGAUAGAGUUGCUUGCCCUGCUUUCUGUGUGUUUCCAGGGCAGCAGGAGGCAAAUUCAGGCAGAAGUAGGACUACUGAGUUAGAAGCUCUAGCAGGCAUGGCUCGCCUUGCUACCAGAAGUGGGGGUGGGUGGGGAUGCCUGGUCUAUAGUCUAGAUGCUUCCUGGGACAACAGGAAGAUGCACCCUAUCGCUGAGUUUACACAGAAGCGUGGCCACUGGGCUGGAAGCUCUAGAAGGUGUUGCCAAUAUGUGUUUCCAUGGGAGGGGUGGGUGGAGUCACCUGCUCAGCUCUCUGGGUAUUUCCUGGGAAAGCAGGAGGCUGCACCCUCCAGCUGAGUUCACACAAAAGCAGGACUGCUGGGCUGGAAGCUCUAGGAAGCCUCACCUACCUGGCUACCAGUGGUGGGGGUGGGUGGAGUGGCCAGCCGAGUUUGGCCCAAAGUGGGCCUGCUAGUCCGGAAGCUGGCCUUGAGCCCCAUCUGGCAAGAAGACAUGGAUAAAUCGUACAGCUCCCAGGUACUGCAACUGUGGUUUUUACUGAGGCAGUGGCAUUGGUACUGGUCUGCCCUUGGGCCCAAGGCUUGUAGAGGUCCCCGUGGACGCAAGAGUUGCCCCCACAAAAUGUCCCAGUGGCUCCUCCUUCAGUCUAGAAAUGUGGUAGAGUUGGUGGGGGCCCAGGGGGUUUCUCCCAUUCCUAGUCUUGCACAGGUCCCUGUGGAGAGCUGAAUCCCCCUAAGGGGCUCUCACCCUUUCCCAUGUUGGAAAAUGGUUCACUUACUCAACCUUUCCCAUAUUGAAAGGUUCUCCUGGCUCUGCACUGAGCCCAGACAUGCUGGUGUCCCACCUCACUCAUCUCUGCUCUUUGUGUUACCCUGCUGCCUUGAUGGAUCAUAACGUGGUUUCUCAGAUGAUCGGCCUGCAGGGUCAAUGUUUACUAGCCCCUUUUGUUUCUGAUCUGUGAGAAUGGUGCAUAUGAGAUGCUUCUAGUCUGCCGUCUUGUCCAAAUAUCCUAAAAUUUUAAAUAAUUUUUAACUGUUAAUUUUUUCCCUUACUUUCUUGUAUAAAAUGAUCUUGUACUGGUGCGCAGGCGCCUGGCAGUUAUUGGUCUCACCAUGGAGCGGAAAGUGUUUGCGCUCCAGGCCUGAAAGAGAAGGACCAUACCCAAGAAGGACAAAGCCCAAAAGGAAUCUGAAACUCAGCACCGAGGCUCUGCUCUCCACUCCGAGAGUGAUCUACCAGAGCAGGAAGAGGAGAUUCUGGGAUCUGAUGAUGAUGAGCAAGAAGAUCCUAAUGAUUAUUGUAAAGGAGGUUAUCAUCUUGUGAAAAUUGGAGAUCUAUUCAACGGGAGCUAUCACGUGAUCCAAAAGUUAGGCUGGGGACACUUUUCAAUGGUAUGGUUAUCAUGGGAUAUUCACGGGAAGAAAUUUGUGGCAAUGAAAGUAGUUAAAAGUGCUGAACAUUACACUGAAACAGCACUAGAUGAAAUCCGGUUGCUGAAGUCAGCUCGUAAUUCAGAUCCUAAUGAUCCAAAUAGAGAAAUGGUUGUACAACUACUAGAUGACUUUAAAAUAUCAGGAGUUAAUGGAACACGUAUCUGCAUGGUAUUUGAAGUUUUGGGGCAUCAUCUGCUCAAGUGGAUCACCAAGUCCAAUUAUCAGGGGCUUCCACUGCCUUGCGUCAAAAAAAUUAUUCAGCAAGUUGUUACAGAGUCUUGAUUAUUUACAUAGCAAGUGCCGUAUCAUCCACACUGACAUUAAACCAGAGAACAUCUUAUUGUCAGUGAAUGAGCAGUACUUUCGGAGGCUGGCUGCAGAAGAAACAGAAUGGCAGCAGUCUGGAGCUCCUCCACCUUCUGGAUCUGCAGUCAGUACUUCUCCCCAACCUAAACCAGCUGACAAAAUGUCAAAGAAGAAGAAGAAGAAAUUGAAGAAGAAGCAGAAGCGCCAGGCAGAAUUACUAGAGAAGUGAAUGCAGGAAAUUGAGGAAAUGGAGAGAGUCGGACCCUGGGCAAAAAAGACCAAACAAGCAAGAAGAAUCAGAGAGUCCUGUUGAAAGACCCUUGAAAGAGAACCCACCUAAUAAAAUGACCCAAGAAAAACUUGAAUAGUCAAGUACCAUUGGCCAGGAUCAAACACUUAUGGAACGUGAUACAGAGGGUGGUGCAGCAGAAAUUAAUUGCAAUGGAGUGAUUGAAGUCAUUAAUUAUAGUCAGAACAGUAAUAAUGAAACAUUGAGGCAUAAAGAGGAUCUACAUAAUGCUAAUGACCGUGAUGUCCAAAAUUUGAAUCAGGAAUCUAGUUUCCUAAGCUCCCAAAAUGGAGACAGUAGCACAUCUCAAGAAACAGACUCCUGUACACCUAUAACAUCUGAGGUGUCAGACUCCAUGGUGUACCAGUCUUCCUCAACUAUAGAUUAGUCAUUCAGUGAACAGUACAUUAGCCAACUUCAAGAAAGCAUUCGGUCAGAGAUACCCUGUGAAGAUGAACAAGAGCAAGAACAUAAUGGACCAUUGGACAACAAACGAAAAUCCACGGCUGGAAAUUUUCUUGUUAAUUCCCUUGAGCCAAAAAAUGCAGAAAAGUUCAAGGUGAAGAUUGCUGAUCUUGGAAAUGCUUGUUGAGUGCACAAACAUUUCACUGAAGAUAUUCAAACGAGGCAAUAUCAUUCCUUGGAAGUUCUAAUAGGAUCUGGCUGUGAUACCCCUGCUGACAUUUGGAGCAUGACAUGCAUGACCUUUGAACUGGCCACAGAUGCCUAUUUGUUUGAACCUCAUUCAGGGGAAGAGUACACUCAAGAUGAAGAUCACAUUGCAUUGAUCAUGGAACUUCUAGGGAAGGUGCCUUGCAAGCUCAUUGUGGCAGGACAAUAUUCCAAGGAAUUUUUCACCAAAAAAGGUGACCUGAAACGUAUCACGAAGCUGAAACCUUGGGGCCUUUUUGAGGUUCUAGUAGAGAAGUAUGAGUGGUCUCAGGAAGAGGCAGCUGACUUCACAGAUUUCUUACUGCCCAUGUUGGAGUUGAUCCCUGAGAAGAGAGCCACUGCCACUGAGUGUCUCCGCCACCCUUGGCUUAACUCCUAAGCCCCUGGCCAGCACCACAGCAGAGAUCACACACUGACCCUCAGCCCUUCCCCUCCAAGCAUUUUCCUCUUCCCUUUUUAGGGUGAAGC
Non-coding RNA from Chlorocebus sabaeus (green monkey), 3777 nucleotides. Lineage: Eukaryota; Metazoa; Chordata; Mammalia; Primates; Cercopithecidae. The record is from RefSeq and is a predicted model, not a curated record.